GCCCGGGUGGCGGAAUGGCAGACGCGGCGGACUCAAAAUCCGUUGCCUUCACGGGCGUGCGGGUUCAAGUCCCGCCCCGGGCA
Molecule: transfer RNA, 83 nt
Filed under: Actinomycetota bacterium
Lineage: Bacteria; Bacillati; Actinomycetota
Description: Actinobacteria bacterium tRNA-Leu
Rfam family: tRNA
About the family: Transfer RNA (tRNA) molecules are approximately 80 nucleotides in length. Their secondary structure includes four short double-helical elements and three loops (D, anti-codon, and T loops). Further hydrogen bonds mediate the characteristic L-shaped molecular structure. tRNAs have two regions of fundamental functional importance: the anti-codon, which is responsible for specific mRNA codon recognition, and the 3' end, to which the tRNAs corresponding amino acid is attached (by aminoacyl-tRNA synthetases). tRNAs cope with the degeneracy of the genetic code in two manners: having more than one tRNA (with a specific anti-codon) for a particular amino acid; and 'wobble' base-pairing, i.e. permitting non-standard base-pairing at the 3rd anti-codon position.
Source: RNAcentral